UACGUAGGGACCAAGCGUUGUUCGGAUUUACUGGGCGUAAAGGGCGCGUAGGCGGCUUAACAAGUCACUUGUGAAAUCUCCGGGCUUAACUCGGAACGGCCAAGUGAAACCUGUCAAGCUAGAGUGCAGAAGGGGCAAUCGGAAUUCUUGGUGUAGCGGUGAAAUGCGUAGAGUAUCAAGAGGAACACCUGAGGUGAAGACGGGUUGCUGGGCUGACACUGACGCUGAGGCGCGAAAGCCAGGGAGCAAACGGG
This 254-nucleotide ribosomal RNA is filed under the name uncultured bacterium. RNAcentral describes it as "partial 16S ribosomal RNA". It matches the Rfam family "Bacterial small subunit ribosomal RNA", at positions 524 to 776 of the family's 1533-position model. The record is from RNAcentral.